CAGGGAUGCCUCAGUACGGCGAGUGAAGCGGCAAGAGCUCAAAUUUGAAAUCUGGCCCCUCCGGGGUCCGAGUUGUAAUUUGUAGAGGAUGCUUCGGGUGCGGCCCCCGUCUAAGUGCUCUGGAACGGGCCAUCGGAGAGGGUGAGAAUCCCGUCUGGGACGGGGUGUCCGCGUCCAUGUGAAGCUCCUUCGACGAGUCGAGUUGUUUGGGAAUGCAGCUCUAAAUGGGUGGUAAAUUUCAUCUAAAGCUAAAUACUGGCCGGAGACCGAUAGCGCACAAGUAGAGUGAUCGAAAGAUGAAAAGCACUUUGAAAAGAGAGUUAAACAGCACGUGAAAUUGUUGAAAGGGAAGCGCUUGCGACCAGACUCGCUUCCGGGGUUCAGCCGGCUUUCGGGCCGGUGUACUUCCCCGGGGGCGGGCCAGCGUCGGUUUGGGCGGCCGGUCAAAGGCCCCUGGAAUGUAACGCCCCUCGGGGCGCCUUAUAGCCAGGGGUGUCAUGCGGCCAGCCUGGACCGAGGAACGCGCUUCGGCACGGACGCUGGCAUAAUGGUCGUAAACGACCCGUCUUGAAACACGGACCAAGGAGUCUAACAUCUACGCGAGUGUUCGGGUGUCAAACCCGUGCGCGCAGUGAAAGCGAACGGAGGUGGGAGCCCCCUCGAGGGGCGCACCAUCGACCGAUCCUGAUGUCUUCGGAUGGAUUUGAGUAAGAGCGUAGCUGUGGGGACCCGAAAGAUGGUGAACUAUGCCUGAAUAGGGCGAAGCCAGAGGAAACUCUGGUGGAGGCUCGCAGCGGUUCUGACGUGCAAAUCGAUCGUCAAAUUUGGGUAUAGGGGCGAAAGACUAAU
RNAcentral lists this ribosomal RNA (849 nucleotides) under Aspergillus glaucus. RNAcentral describes it as "partial large subunit ribosomal RNA". It matches the Rfam family "Eukaryotic large subunit ribosomal RNA", at positions 69 to 935 of the family's 3401-position model. The record is from RNAcentral. Lineage: Eukaryota; Fungi; Ascomycota; Eurotiomycetes; Eurotiales; Aspergillaceae.